RNAcentral lists this ribosomal RNA (492 nucleotides) under uncultured bacterium. Its description in RNAcentral is "partial 16S ribosomal RNA". It matches the Rfam family "Bacterial small subunit ribosomal RNA", at positions 29 to 507 of the family's 1533-position model. The record is from RNAcentral.
AAUGAACGCUGGCGGUAGGCCUAACACAUGCAAGUCGAACGGUAGCACAGUAAGAGCUUGCUCUUACGGGUGGCGAGUGGCGGACGGGUGAGGAAUACAUCGGAAUCUACUUUUUCGUGGGGGAUAACGUAGGGAAACUUACGCUACUACCGCAUAUGACCUACGGGUGGAAGCAGGGGUUCUUCGGACCUUGCGCGAUUGAAUGAGCCGAUGUCGGAUUAGCUAGUUGGCGGGGUAAAGGCCCACCAAGGCGACGAACCGUAGCUGGUCUGAGAGGAUGAUCAGCCACACUGGAACUGAGACACGGUCCAGACUCCUACGGGAGGCAGCAGUGGGGAAUAUUGGACAAUGGGCGCAAGCCUGAUCCAGCCAUACCGCGUGGGUGAAGAAGGCCUUCGGGUUGUAAAGCCCUUUUGUUGGGAAAGAAAAGCAGCAGGUUAAUACCCCGCUGUUCUGACGGUACCCAAAGAAUAAGCACCGGCUAACUUCGUG